This is a long non-coding RNA of Magnolia sinica, 199 nucleotides long. RefSeq lists it as uncharacterized. The record is from RefSeq and is a predicted model, not a curated record. The transcript is spliced from 3 exons. Lineage: Eukaryota; Viridiplantae; Streptophyta; Magnoliopsida; Magnoliales; Magnoliaceae.
GGGUUUAGGUUAGGGUUUAGGUUAUAGGUUUAGGUUUUAGGUUAUAGGUUAUAGGUUUAGUUUAUAGGUUAAGGUUUGGGUUAUAGGUUAAGGUUUAGGUUAUAGGUUAUAAGUAUAGGUUUAGGUUUAGGUUAAGGUCUAGGUUUAGGUUAUAAGUAUAGGUUUUGGGAUUUGAGAAUAGAUUUAGGUUAAGGUUAUA